This 252-nucleotide ribosomal RNA is filed under the name Salmonella enterica subsp. enterica serovar Muenchen. Its description in RNAcentral is "partial 16S ribosomal RNA". It matches the Rfam family "Bacterial small subunit ribosomal RNA", at positions 1 to 249 of the family's 1533-position model. The record is from RNAcentral. Lineage: Bacteria; Pseudomonadati; Pseudomonadota; Gammaproteobacteria; Enterobacterales; Enterobacteriaceae. RNAcentral also lists the same sequence under 4 other names.
AAAUUGAAGAGUUUGAUCAUGGCUCAGAUUGAACGCUGGCGGCAGGCCUAACACAUGCAAGUCGAACGGUAACAGGAAGCAGCUUGCUGCUUCGCUGACGAGUGGCGGACGGGUGAGUAAUGUCUGGGAAACUGCCUGAUGGAGGGGGAUAACUACUGGAAACGGUGGCUAAUACCGCAUAACGUCGCAAGACCAAAGAGGGGGACCUUCGGGCCUCUUGCCAUCAGAUGUGCCCAGAUGGGAUUAGCUAGU